AAGUCGUAACAAGGUUUCCGUAGGUGAACCUGCGGAAUGAUGUUAGUGACACUUUCAGACACUAACGUUAGUGACACUUUCAGACACUAACUGCUUGGGGAUGCCAGGCCACUUACACGCACAACAUGCACGCUCCUUGCAGACGUCCCUGAAUCGAAAACUGUUCGGCGAUGAUUUACCAGGGAUUGCUGCUUUUUCUAACGGACGUACGAGUACGACUGAAGGUUCACAGGGGGGUUUAACGUUUGGAUACGUGUUAAUGAUCAGUGUAAGGAUGACGCAGUCACGAUCGUUGGAGGCCCACACGGCCGACGACCGGGUCACCGGGUGCAAGCCCCCUUAUCACACCCCUGCUCUAUCUAUGGUGAUCCUGCGGGAAGUCCUGCGGUCGAACGCCGAAACCGAACAACUGUUAACAAUGGAUAUCUUGGUUCUC
This 436-nucleotide unclassified non-coding RNA is filed under the name fungal sp. RNAcentral describes it as "partial internal transcribed spacer region". The record is from RNAcentral. Lineage: Eukaryota; Fungi.